CCUACGGGUGGCUGCAGUGGGGAAUAUUGGACAAUGGGGGCAACCCUGAUCCAGCCAUGCCGCGUGUGUGAAGAAGGCCCUCGGGUUGUAAAGCACUUUCAGUGAGGAAGAACGCCUGGUGGUUAAUACCCAUCAGGAAAGACAUCACUCACAGAAGAAGCACCGGCUAACUCCGUGCCAGCAGCCGCGGUAAUACGGAGGGUGCGAGCGUUAAUCGGAAUUACUGGGCGUAAAGCGCGCGUAGGUGGCUUGAUAAGCCGGUUGUGAAAGCCCCGGGCUCAACCUGGGAACGGCAUCCGGAACUGUCAAGCUAGAGUGCAGGAGAGGAAGGUAGAAUUCCCGGUGUAGCGGUGAAAUGCGUAGAGAUCGGGAGGAAUACCAGUGGCGAAGGCGGCCUUCUGGACUGACUCUGACACUGAGGUGCGAAAGCGUGGGUAGCAAACAGGAUUAGAUACCCUGGUAGUC
RNAcentral lists this ribosomal RNA (465 nucleotides) under Vreelandella stevensii. RNAcentral's name for it is "partial 16S ribosomal RNA". It matches the Rfam family "Bacterial small subunit ribosomal RNA", at positions 338 to 795 of the family's 1533-position model. The record is from RNAcentral. Lineage: Bacteria; Pseudomonadati; Pseudomonadota; Gammaproteobacteria; Oceanospirillales; Halomonadaceae.